GAUUUAAUCGUGAAACCGCGAAUGGCUCAUUAUAACAGCUAUAAUUUACUUGAUCUUGACCCAAUCCUACUUGGAUAACUGUGGUAAUUCUAGAGCUAAUACAUGCAUUAAGGCUCUGACCUCACGGGAAGAGUGCAUUUAUUAGAACAAAACCAAGCGGCUUUGGCUGUUUCUGGUUGACUCAUAGUAACUGAGCUGAUCGCACGGUCUUGCACCGGCGACGUGUCUUUCAAGUAUCUGCCGUAUCAACUUUCGAUGGUAGUGUAUCUGACUACCAUGGUGAUCACGCGUAACGGAGAAUAAGGGUUCGGCUCCGGAGAGUUCGCCUGAGAAAUCGCGAACACAUCUAAGGAAGGCAGCAGGCGCGAAAAUUACCCACUCUCAGCACGAGGAGGUAGUGACGAAAAAUAACGAGACCGUUCUCUUCUGAGGCCGGUCAUCGGAAUGGGUACAAUUUAAACCCUUUAACGAGUAUCUAUGAGAGGGCAAGUCUGGUGCCAGCAGCCGCGGUAAUUCCAGCUCUCAAAGUGCAUAGAAUUAUUGCUGCGGUUAAAAAGCUCGUAGUUGGAUCUGUGCCAUAGGACGUGGUCCACCUUCGGGUGCGUACUACGCUCCUAGGCUUUUUGUUGGUUUUCCCGUCGUAGCCUUUACUGGUUGCGGCGGGUGGCUGGCGAGUUUACUUUGAGAAAAUCAGAGUGCUCAAUMCAGGCGUAUCGCUUGAAUGAUUGUGCAUGGAAUAAUAGAAAAGGAUUUCGGUCCUCUUUUAUUGGUUUUGUGGACUGAGAUAAUGGUUAACAGGGACAAACGGGGGCAUUCGUAUCGCUGCGUGAGAGGGAAAU
RNAcentral lists this ribosomal RNA (839 nucleotides) under Dicelis lovatiana. Its description in RNAcentral is "SSU rRNA". It matches the Rfam family "Eukaryotic small subunit ribosomal RNA", at positions 72 to 928 of the family's 1831-position model. The record is from RNAcentral. Lineage: Eukaryota; Metazoa; Nematoda; Chromadorea; Rhabditida; Drilonematidae.